GGGAACUCCAGGGAGACUGCCGGUGAUAAACCGGAGGAAGGUGGGGACGACGUCAAGUCAUCAUGGCCCUUACGAGUAGGGCUACACACGUGCUACAAUGGCGCAUACAGAGGGCGGCCAACUUGCGAGAGUGAGCGAAUCCCAAAAAGUGCGUCGUAGUCCGGAUUGGAGUCUGCAACUCGACUCCAUGAAGUCGGAAUCGCUAGUAAUCGUGGAUCAGAAUGCCACGGUGAAUACGUUCCCGGGCCUUGUACACACCGCCCGUCACACCAUGGGAGUGGGCUGCAAAAGAAGUGGGUAGUUUAACCUUCGGGGGGACGCUCACCACUUUGUGGUUCAUGACUGGGGUGAAGUCGUAACAAGGUAGCGCUAGGGGAACCUGGCGCUGGAUCACCUCCUUA
RNAcentral lists this ribosomal RNA (401 nucleotides) under Vibrio sp. MarTm2. Its description in RNAcentral is "bacterial SSU rRNA". It matches the Rfam family "Bacterial small subunit ribosomal RNA", at positions 1133 to 1533 of the family's 1533-position model. Lineage: Bacteria; Pseudomonadati; Pseudomonadota; Gammaproteobacteria; Vibrionales; Vibrionaceae. The record is from RNAcentral.